GGCGGUUCUCGGGUGAUGUACUUUGGAAUCGGACUCCCUCCUCUCUGGUUCCAGGGUGUGACACCCAAGAACCGCA
This is a non-coding RNA of Myotis lucifugus (little brown bat), 76 nucleotides long. Lineage: Eukaryota; Metazoa; Chordata; Mammalia; Chiroptera; Vespertilionidae. The record is from Rfam.